AUUGAACGCUGGCGGUAGGCUUAACACAUGCAAGUCGUGCGAGAAAGUAUCUUCGGAUAUGAGUAGAGCGGCGGACGGGUGAGUAACGCGUAGGAAUCUACCUAGUAGAAGGGGAUAGCCCGGGGAAACUCGGAUUAAUACCGUAUACCUCCUUCGGGAGAAAGAAGGCCUCUCUUUGAAGCUUUCGCUAUUAGAUGAGCCUGCGUAAGAUUAGCUUGUUGGUGAGGUAAAGGCUCACCAAGGCGACGAUCUUUAGCGGGUCUGAGAGGACGAUCCGCCACAUUGGGACUGAGACACGGCCCAGACUCCUACGGGAGGCAGCAGUGGGGAAUAUUGGACAAUGGGCGCAAGCCUGAUCCAGCCAUACCGCGUGUGUGAAGAAGGCCCUAGGGUUGUAAAGCACUUUAAGUUGGGAAGAAAAGUUAUUGGUCAAUACCCAAUAACCGUGACAUUACCAUCAGAAUAAGGACCGGCUAAUUCCGUGCCAGCAGCCGCGGUAAUACGGAAGGUCCAAGCGUUAAUCGGAAUUACUGGGCGUAAAGCGCGCGUAGGUGGUUUAUUAAGUUGGAUGUGAAAUCCCCGGGCUCAACCUGGGAACUGCAUCCAAAACUGAUUCACUAGAGUACGAUAGAGGGAGGUAGAAUUCACAGUGUAGCGGUGGAAUGCGUAGAUAUUGUGAAGAAUACCAAUGGCGAAGGCAGCCUCCUGGAUCUGUACUGACACUGAGGUGCGAAAGCGUGGGUAGCGAACAGGAUUAGAUACCCUGGUAGUCCACGCCGUAAACGAUGUCAACUAGCUGUUGGAAAACUAUGUUUUUCAGUGGCGCAGCUAACGUAGUAAGUUGACCGCCUGGGGAGUACGGCCGCAAGGCUAAAACUCAAAUGAAUUGACGGGGACCCGCACAAGCGGUGGAGCAUGUGGUUUAAUUCGAUGCAACGCGAAAAACCUUACCUAUACUUGACAUACUUGGAAUGCUUUGUAAUGAAGCAGUGCCUUCGGGAGCCAAGAUACAGGUGCUGCAUGGCUGUCGUCAGCUCGUGUCGUGAGAUGUUCCGUUAAGUCGGAUAACGAGCGCAACCCUUACCCUUAUUUGCCAGCGAUUCGGUCGGGAACUAUAAGGGGACUGCCGGUGAUAAACCGGAGGAAGGUGAGGACGACGUCAAGUCAUCAUGGCCCUUACGUAUAGGGCUACACACGUGCUACAAUGGAGAAUACAGACGGACGCUAAGCCGCGAGGUGGUGCUAAUCCUAGAAAAUUCUUCGUAGUCCGGAUUGGAGUCUGCAACUCGAACUCCGUGAAAGUCGGAAUCGCUAGUAAUCGCGAAUCAGCAUGUCGCGGUAAAUACGUUUCUCGGGUCU
Molecule: ribosomal RNA, 1359 nt
Filed under: uncultured bacterium
Lineage: Bacteria
Description: bacterial SSU rRNA
Rfam family: Bacterial small subunit ribosomal RNA
Source: RNAcentral